Molecule: ribosomal RNA, 245 nt
Filed under: uncultured bacterium
Lineage: Bacteria
Description: partial 16S ribosomal RNA
Rfam family: Bacterial small subunit ribosomal RNA
Source: RNAcentral
GACGAACCGUGCAAACGUUGUUCGGAAUCACUGGGCUUAAAGGGCGCGUAGGCGGGCGGCCAAGUCAGGGGUGAAAUCUUUCGGCUCAACCGGAAAAUUGCCUUUGAAACUGGCUGUCUCGAGGGAGGUAGGGGCAUGUGGAACUUCCGGUGGAGCGGUGAAAUGCGUUGAUAUCGGAAGGAACGCCGGUGGCGAAAGCGACGUGCUGGACCUCUUCUGACGCUGAGGCGCGAAAGCUAGGGGAG